RNAcentral lists this ribosomal RNA (425 nucleotides) under uncultured bacterium. Its description in RNAcentral is "partial 16S ribosomal RNA". It matches the Rfam family "Bacterial small subunit ribosomal RNA", at positions 354 to 796 of the family's 1533-position model. The record is from RNAcentral.
GUGGGGAAUCUUGCGCAAUGGGUGAAAGCCUGACGCAGCCAUGCCGCGUGAAUGAUGAAGGUCUUAGGAUUGUAAAAUUCUUUCACCGGGGACGAUAAUGACGGUACCCGGAGAAGAAGCUCCGUCUAACUUCGUGCCAGCAGCCGCGGUAAUACGAAGGGGGCUAGCGUUGCUCGGAAUUACUGGGCGUAAAGGGCGCGUAGGCGGACAGCUUAGUCAGAGGUGAAAGCCCAGGGCUCAACCUUGGAAUUGCCUUUGAUACUGGCUGUCUUGAGUUUGGGAGAGGUGAGUGGAACUCCGAGUGUAGAGGUGAAAUUCGUAGAUAUUCGGAAGAACACCAGUGGCGAAGGCGACUCACUGGCCCAAUACUGACGCUGAGGCGCGAAAGCGUGGGGAGCAAACAGGAUUAGAAACCCUUGUAGUCC